UGGGCAAGGGAUGACAGGCUUGUUGGGCCUU
RNAcentral lists this non-coding RNA (31 nucleotides) under Homo sapiens (human). The record is from RNAcentral. Lineage: Eukaryota; Metazoa; Chordata; Mammalia; Primates; Hominidae.